Molecule: ribosomal RNA, 301 nt
Filed under: uncultured bacterium
Lineage: Bacteria
Description: partial 16S ribosomal RNA
Rfam family: Bacterial small subunit ribosomal RNA
Source: RNAcentral
CAGCCGCCACGGUAAUACAGAGGGUGCGAGCGUUAAUCGGAUUUACUGGGCGUAAAGCGUGCGUAGGCGGCUUUUUAAGUCGGAUGUGAAAUCCCUGAGCUUAACUUAGGAAUUGCAUUCGAUACUGGGAAGCUAGAGUAUGGGAGAGGAUGGUAGAAUUCCAGGUGUAGCGGUGAAAUGCGUAGAGAUCUGGAGGAAUACCGAUGGCGAAGGCAGCCAUCUGGCCUAAUACUGACGCUGAGGUACGAAAGCAUGGGGAGCAAACAGGAUUAGAUACCCCGGUAGUCCCUGUCUCUUAUAU